RNAcentral lists this long non-coding RNA (2676 nucleotides) under Trifolium pratense (red clover). RNAcentral's name for it is "long non-coding RNA (TPRA_LNC003681)". Lineage: Eukaryota; Viridiplantae; Streptophyta; Magnoliopsida; Fabales; Fabaceae. The record is from RNAcentral.
UUAUUUAUUGUGGCGUGUAAUUUUCGUAAUUGAAUAUUUUGGUAUUUAUAACUUUAGACUUAAACUGCUAACUAGAGUAAUUAAUAGAUGAGAAUUUUUUUAUUGAGCUUUAGGUGAGUUGUGCCUAAAAUAAAUAGAAUGAGUAUUAUGUUAGUAAGUUAGUAGAAUGGGGGGUGUGAAUUGGAAUUUUGUAGAAAACCUAACUAUAAAAGCUAGUUAGUGAGAGAAUGAGUCAUUAUUCACAUUUCUUAGGGAAGUAAGAAAGAGAGGCUCUAGAAACAAAGGGAGGAAGAAACGAAGAAGAUAGAACCAAGCUCAAAGAACAACCAAGCUUCCAUUUUUCAAGCUUCAUUAGAGGUAUGAGGGUAGUUUUAUAAUCUUUGAGGUGAAUUAAUGGAGAGGAGAGAAGUAUCCUUCUCUAGCUCAAACUCUUCUCAUCUCUUUUUCAUUUUGGGUUAGUUAUGGGAUUUGGGAAUAUGUUAAUCAUAAAAUUUAUGUUAUAAUAUAUGAUUAUCUAUGUGUGUUUAUGAUUUAUAAAUGAAAUGAUUUGAUAAAUGAUGAAAAUCCAUGAAUAAGUGCUUAUAAUUGAUGAUUUAAGUUGAUUUAAUCAUGUUAUAAGUGUGAUAUUUGUUUGACAUGAAUUUAUGGGUUUAAAUAAGUGAUUUUCGUAGCUUUAAAGUGCUUAUUUGGACCAAAAUCGCACCAAAACGUGUCAUGCAGAAUUCUGCAGUAUGAACAGUGCGCUUGCGACGUAAUCUGGCCGACGCUAUAGCCGACGCAACCCCUUAUGUUGACUAUUUUGACUUUUUGUUGACUUAUGCACCCGGAAUCUAUUUUGCUCAUUUUUUCCGUGUAGAUUCCGAUUAUGGAGUUUAUUUUCUAAGAUGAUUGUUGGUUGUUUGUGUUUGCAUAUAUUUUGGUAAUAAAGUAUGCUUAAUUAGUUUUUAUUAAUUGAAUUAAAUAACUAAUUGUUGUUGAUUAGUUUUAGUAUCUUUUGAGUAUGGAAUAAAUGUAUUUUCCAUGAGUUGAUGAUGAUAGUGAUGUUGUUAAGUCUUGUUGAUACAUUAUGUGUUGUUGAUUAAUGAUGAUGAUUAGGCUUGUUGAUAAAUUAUGAUAAAUCAUGAUGUUGAUUUAUUGAUGAUGAUAAAUGAUGAUUUAUCAUGAGUAGAUGUAUUCUAAAGACGAUGAUUUAGAAUAUUUGGAUUAUGUUAUCCAUAUUAUGUUGAUGUUAUAGUUGAGAUAAAACUAUAUGUUUGGUAUAUGCACAUUCAUGCAUUCAUAAGUUGUGUCUAUUGAUGAGUAUCCUAGAGACGAUGAUCUAGUUUACUGUUAUUCUAGAGACGAUGAUCUAGAAUGUUUUAGAGACGAUGAUCUAAAACACUUGGAUUAAGUUAUCCAAAAUUAUGAUGAAAUGGUACCAUAUGCAUUAGAUGUGUCUAGGUGAUAUCACAUCUAUGUGACAUUAGAAUACAUUAGGAAUUGUGUGUUGUUCCUAAUUGUUAAAUGAUACCUGGCAUAUAUAGAAUUCAUUUAUUAAUGUUGAUGAUUAAUACCUCUCAAAUGUGAUGUAUGAUUGAUAAAUGAAUAUAAUGUGUUACCUAAUUAUUAUAACUCGUUAAUAACAUGUAGUUAUGUGAUAUAUGUUAUCUUUAACUCAUAUAUGUGUGUGGAUGUCUGAGUUGUAUCUAUGCAAUUGUUCUUAUUUAUUUAGUGUCGGAUAUUCGUUAUAUUCGAUCACUGGUUAUGAUUAUAUUAUCUAACCCUCUGUUUUGUGUUUGUGCUGAACCGUUGGGGGUUCAGAUUAUCAGGUUGUGUAUGUUUGUCGGUGUUCGAGUUAUUGGUGAAGCUCCGCUCUGAUUAUGACACGGGGAAGGAUUAAUAGAGUCUUUAUUUGUUGUUGUUUUAUUUAAAUUAAAGGUGUAUCUUUUAUAAAAGGGUUUUGUAUAAGUGAUGAUUACUAAUUAAUUUUAUUAGUAGAGUUUUUAAUGAAGAAUGUAACACCUUUUGAACCAAUAUUUUAUAAUUCAUUUUGACUUCGAGUCUUAAAGUUAUUUUUUUAUCCGCUGCGUAGUUUUUGAAAAAGCAUUCUAUAAUUAAGAUAAAUUGAAUAUUAGGUUAGGGUGGUUACACUUCUCACUGGUCGCCAUUAAAGGACAGCUGUUGCGAUGCAUUGCCCUGCACUCAUAUUGAGGCAGAGUUACUUUUUCAAGCCUCUUGCUUUUAUGACAGACAUCUUUUCGUUGCCCAAGUGUGACGUCAUGCUUCUAGGAAGGUGGAUAUGUGUCUUCUUUCCCUUUAUGGAUGCGUUUGAUUUGCAAAAAAUAAGGGACAAGACAGAACAAAAAUAGUUGUCCAGCGUUUGAUUUAAAAAAGGAAAAAAGGACAGUACAAAAAAAGAUCCAGAGGACAGGACAACUAUUAACUUUUUUGUUACCCACUAACGUGGGGGACAACUUUUUGUCCAGCGGACAAAGAAAAGAAAAAUACAGUUUUAUCCCUAGGUUUUCUCGCGCGUGUUCCUUAGCUUAUUUUGCAAACCUUUGUUCACUUUGUUACUCACGCAGUCCUGCAAUUUCUGCAAAUCAUCUCUCAUCUUUAUCAAGUAAGUUCUUCAAUUCCUUUUCUUUUCUUUUAAUUUCCACUCUUUGUUGAUUGCUGGGAGUUUUUGGGUCGCGU